RNAcentral lists this ribosomal RNA (468 nucleotides) under uncultured bacterium. RNAcentral's name for it is "partial 16S ribosomal RNA". It matches the Rfam family "Bacterial small subunit ribosomal RNA", at positions 28 to 507 of the family's 1533-position model. The record is from RNAcentral.
GACGAACGCUGGCGGCGUGCUUAACACAUGCAAGUCGAACGGAAAGGCCCUGCUUUUGUGGGGUGCUCGAGUGGCGAACGGGUGAGUAACACGUGAGUAACCUGCCCUUGACUUUGGGAUAACUUCAGGAAACUGGGGCUAAUACCGGAUAGGAGCUCCUGCUGCAUGGUGGGGGUUGGAAAGUUUCGGCGGUUGGGGAUUGACUCGCGGCUUAUCAGCUUGUUGGUGGGGUAGUGGCUUACCAAGGCUUUGACGGGUAGCCGGCCUGAGAGGGUGAACGGCGAAAAUGGGAAUGAGAGACGGCCCAGACUCCUACGGGAGGCAGCAGUGGGGAAUAUUGCAAAAUGGGAGGAAGCCUGAUGCAGCAACGCCGCGUGCGGGAUGACGGCCUUCGGGUUGUAAACCGAUUUCGCCUGUGACGAAGCGUGAGUGACGGUAAUGGGUAAAGAAGCACCGGCUAACUACGUG